Molecule: ribosomal RNA, 1417 nt
Filed under: Protofrankia sp. BMG5.30
Lineage: Bacteria; Bacillati; Actinomycetota; Actinomycetes; Frankiales; Frankiaceae
Description: bacterial LSU rRNA
Rfam family: Bacterial large subunit ribosomal RNA
Source: RNAcentral
ACAGUGGACGCGAGCAUCUUUGUGGCCAAGUUAGUAAGGGCACACGGUGGAUGCCUUGGCACCAGGAGCCGAUGAAGGACGUGGGAGGCUGCGAUAUGCCUCGGGGAGCUGUCAACCGAGCUGUGAUCCGAGGAUUUCCGAAUGGGGAAACCCGGCAGGGCUUGAAAUCCUGUCACCCGCGCCUGAACACAUAGGGCGCGUGGAGGGAACGCGGGGAAGUGAAACAUCUCAUUACCCGCAGGAAGAGAAAACAACCGUGAUUCCGUGAGUAGUGGCGAGCGAAAGCGGAUGAGRCUAAACCGAUGGCGUGUGAGAGCCGGCAGGCGUUGCGUGGUCGGGGUUGUGGGAGCGUUCGGGCGGAUCUGCCGAUCUGUCGAGGAGUGAGAAAGCGUCGUGUUAGUCGAAGGUCAUGCGAAUGGACUGCCGUAGAGGGUAAGAGUCCCGUAGGCGAAAGCAURGCGUCUCCUGAGCGUUAUCCCAAGUAGCACGGAGCCCGUGAAAUUCCGUGUGAAUCUGGCGGGACCACCCGCUAAGCCUAAAUACUCCCUGGUGACCGAUAGCGGACGAGUACCGUGAGGGAAAGGUGAAAAGUACCCCGGGAGGGGAGUGAAAUAGUACCUGAAACCGUGUGCUUACAAUCCGUGGGAGCGGGGGCUUGCCCCUGUGACCGCGUGCCUUUUGAAGAAUGAGCCUGCGAGUUUGCGAUGUGUGGCGAGGUUAACCUUUGUGGGGGAGCCGUAGCGAAAGCGAGUCCGAACAGGGCGUUUGAGUCGCAUGUCCAAGACCCGAAGCCGAGUGAUCUAUCCAUGGCCAGGUUGAAGCGCGGGUAAGACCGUGUGGAGGACCGAACCCACCAGGGUUGAAAACCUGGGGGAUGAGCUGUGGAUAGGGGUGAAAGGCCAAUCAAACUCGGUGAUAGCUGGUUCUCCCCGAAAUGCAUUUAGGUGCAGCGUCACGUGUUUCUUGCCGGAGGUAGAGCACUGGAUGGCCUAGGGGGCCUACAAGCUUACUGAAGUCAGCCAAACUCCGAAUGCCGGUAAGUGAAGCGUGGCAGUGAGACUGCGGGGGAUAAGCUUCGUAGUCGAGAGGGAAACAGCCCAGAUCGCCAGCUAAGGCCCCUAAGCGUGCGCUAAGUGGGAAAGGAUGUGGAGUCGCGGAGACAACCAGGAGGUUGGCUUAGAAGCAGCCACCCUUGAAAGAGUGCGUAAUAGCUCACUGGUCAAGUGGUUCUGCGCCGACAAUGUAGCGGGGCUCAAGCGCACCGCCGAAGCUGCGRCAUACACACGUGUGUGUAUGGGUAGGGGAGCGUCGUGUGGCGUGUGAAGCGGCGGGGUGACCCAGCCGUGGAUGCUACACGAGUGAGAAUGCAGGCAUGAGUAGCGAAUGACGGGUGAGAAUCCCGUCCGCCGGAUGACUA